AGAGAGAGAAACGAGAAGAAGAAGAGGGUCUUCUUCUAGGGUUGUUUGUUUUCAUAUCUUUCCUCCCUCCAUCUUGAGUUUCCUGAGAGCAUCUCAGAUCUGAAACUCCUCCUUCUACUUUUCAUCUUUGGAAGAGUCCAAAUCAAGAAGGAGGCACCUGAUCAACCAUCAAAGAAGGAUCAGCGCAGUACUAGCAUACUGUGCUGAUUUC
This 211-nucleotide long non-coding RNA is filed under the name Elaeis guineensis (African oil palm). RNAcentral describes it as "long non-coding RNA (EGUI_LNC067762)". The record is from RNAcentral. Lineage: Eukaryota; Viridiplantae; Streptophyta; Magnoliopsida; Arecales; Arecaceae.